GUGAGCUUGGCCAUGAAGCCAGGAGGCAUCUGAACAAUAACAUUUGAGCUCUUGCUUGGAGCAAGGUUAGGUUGCUUUGGAGUUUGAGCCAAGGCUUUAUCCACUUUGCCGUGGGCAUCUGGGAGAAGGCUUCUGAGAUUUGGCAAACUCCGCUAAAGACAGUUCGUGAACCGUAUUUAUCACACCAUUUUCAGAGAGAAACCCCGGAAUCGUAUUUCCCUUCGUAUAUACUAACUGCCCAGCUUUCCGUGUAACUCCUCAUAUGUAAUCUAGGUCUGCCUUCUCAAAAAUCCUAUAAAGUGCCCUUACAAAUGAAUGAAAUAAGAUUUAGAGGUAUUGAGUGCCCCACUUGCAGACGGAGUGAAAAUAGAAUCUUUCUAUACGGUAUUCUGCACUUAACCAAAUUGCCUGAAACUGAGAAAUCAUAAACAAAUCAGUUAAUAUUUUCUAGGAAGUAGGAAUCCUUUUAAAUUAUUUCGACUUUUUUUUUUUUACAGGUGAGAUCUGUUAACCUUAUCCACAUUCCCCGAUACACUGAAAAGCCGAGGAGCGGGUGCUCGUAUGGUUUCCUGACUACUAGCUGGGAGCUUAACGUACCACACUUCCACUCAAUUCGAUUCAAUAAAUAGUUAUUGGACUCCUGUUAUGUGCAAAAUAUUAUGCUGGUCUUACAGAAAAUGCUAGAUGACUAAGAGUUCCUGCCCUUGGAGAGGAAGCUGUAGGACAAAUUUACAAGAGAACUAUAGGAGAAGGCAACAUCCAGUUAGUGACCUAGGAAGGAUAGGCCAUACAGUGGAGUGGGUGAGCACCAGGGCUCUCAAGGUCGGGUUCAUCUCUCCUACACUCUGGAUGUGACCUAGGACAAGUCACUUAACUGAUCUGUGCCUGAUUCCUCGUCUGUCAGAUGAACAGUAGCCCCUGCCUCAUAAGAGAGGUAGUAAGAUCAGGUGAAUGAAUACCCUUGAAAAUUUUUGCUUAGUGAUUGAUUAUUAGCCUUUAUUAGUUAACCUGAAGUCUCUGCAUUUGAUGUCAUCAAAUGCAUUCGUUUUCACUUUUAUGGUUUAUGCUUCUUGGGGCUUUUUGAAGAAAUUCUCCAACUUUUUUUUUCUAUUAAUUGUAUGUCUUUAUUUUCACACUUAGGUCUUUAAUGGCACGAGGCAACCCUUCAACUUUAAUAUUCACCCUGUAAUGUGCCCACACCAUGUCUGAAUAAUCCACUUUACAAUCUUUUACCUUAAGUAUCUUCUCUAAUAUUGGUUUUAGAUUAAAUAUAAUGUGUUACAUGCAAACGGUAAAACUGUUAUUGCAUAUUUUUUCGUUCAUAUUUGACUGGGGCAUCCUUAUCUAGG
RNAcentral lists this long non-coding RNA (1349 nucleotides) under Felis catus (domestic cat). RNAcentral's name for it is "lncRNA (ENSFCAG00000047137.1)". The record is from RNAcentral. Lineage: Eukaryota; Metazoa; Chordata; Mammalia; Carnivora; Felidae.